Molecule: ribosomal RNA, 253 nt
Filed under: uncultured bacterium
Lineage: Bacteria
Description: partial 16S ribosomal RNA
Rfam family: Bacterial small subunit ribosomal RNA
Source: RNAcentral
UACGGGGGGGGCAAGCGUUGUUCGGAAUUACUGGGCGUAAAGGGCUCGUAGGCGGCCAUCUAAGUCGGACGUGAAAUCCCUCGGCUUAACCGGGGAACUGCGCUUGAUACUGGAUGGCUUGAGAUUGGGAGAGGGAUGCGGAAUUCCAGGUGUAGCGGUGAAAUGCGUAGAUAUCUGGAGGAACACCUGUGGUGUAGACAGCUUACUGGACCACGACUGACGCUGAGACACGAAAGCGUGGGUAGCAAACAGG